This 435-nucleotide ribosomal RNA is filed under the name uncultured bacterium. RNAcentral describes it as "partial 16S ribosomal RNA". It matches the Rfam family "Bacterial small subunit ribosomal RNA", at positions 28 to 507 of the family's 1533-position model. The record is from RNAcentral.
GAUGAACGCUGGCGGUAUGCUUAACACAUGCAAGUCGAACGGACUCUUCGGAGUUAGUGGCGGACGGGUGAGUAACGCGUGAGAAUCUGGCUUUGGGUUCGGGACAACCACUGGAAACGGUGGCUAAUACCGGAUGUGCCGAGAGGUAAAAGAGAAAUUGCCUGAAGAUGAGCUCGCGUCUGAUUAGCUAGUUGGUGAGGUAAAGGCUCACCAAGGCAGCGAUCAGUAGCUGGUCUGAGAGGAUGACCAGCCACACUGGGACUGAGACACGGCCCAGACUCCUACGGGAGGCAGUAGUGGGGAAUUUUCCGCAAUGGGCGAAAGCCUGACGGAGCAAUACCGCGUGAGGGAAGAAGGCUCUUGGGUUGUAAACCUCUUUUCUUAGGGAAGAACAAAAUGACGGUACCUAAGGAAUCAGCAUCGGCUAACUCCGUG